Molecule: long non-coding RNA, 258 nt
Organism: Diceros bicornis minor
Lineage: Eukaryota; Metazoa; Chordata; Mammalia; Perissodactyla; Rhinocerotidae
Exons: 2
Source: RefSeq, a predicted model, not a curated record
CCACUGGUGUAGAGUCUUACUUAACUCACCAGGAGGCGAGCCCACUUGGUUCGGUAACAAAAUUGGUGACCCAGAGGGAACAUACCCCUUCAUGAUGACUGUGCCGCCAGCUUGACAUCGCUGCCCCAUCGGGAGACCCAGCGGCCGCACUGAGUGCUUUGCUUGGAGGAUCUCUCUAUGGAGGUGCAAUUUCAACAGCUGUGUAAAGGAUUUACGCGAGUUUGGAUGAAUUCAAACACAGGUGUGCAAGAUAAAGGU